GGCGGAUGUAGCCAAGNGGAUCA
Molecule: transfer RNA, 23 nt
Filed under: Calycophyllum spruceanum
Lineage: Eukaryota; Viridiplantae; Streptophyta; Magnoliopsida; Gentianales; Rubiaceae
Description: partial tRNA-His
Source: RNAcentral